RNAcentral lists this ribosomal RNA (2775 nucleotides) under Enterobacter hormaechei. RNAcentral's name for it is "bacterial LSU rRNA". It matches the Rfam family "Bacterial large subunit ribosomal RNA". Lineage: Bacteria; Pseudomonadati; Pseudomonadota; Gammaproteobacteria; Enterobacterales; Enterobacteriaceae. The record is from RNAcentral.
AGCGUACACGGUGGAUGCCCUGGCAGUCAGAGGCGAUGAAGGACGUGCUAAUCUGCGAAAAGCGCCGGCGAGGUGAUAUGAACCUUUGACCCGGCGAUGUCCGAAUGGGGAAACCCAGUGCAAUCCGUUGCACUAUCGUUAACUGAAUACAUAGGUUAACGAGGCGAACCGGGGGAACUGAAACAUCUAAGUACCCCGAGGAAAAGAAAUCAACCGAGAUUCCCCCAGUAGCGGCGAGCGAACGGGGAGCAGCCCGGAGUCUGAAUCAGCUUGUGUGUUAGUGGAACGGUCUGGAAAGUCCGACGGUACAGGGUGAUAGUCCCGUACACGAAAGCACACUUGCUGUGAACUCGAAGAGUAGGGCGGGACACGUGGUAUCCUGUCUGAAUAUGGGGGGACCAUCCUCCAAGGCUAAAUACUCCUGACUGACCGAUAGUGAACCAGUACCGUGAGGGAAAGGCGAAAAGAACCCCGGCGAGGGGAGUGAAAAAGAACCUGAAACCGUGUACGUACAAGCAGUGGGAGCCUCUUUAUGGGGUGACUGCGUACCUUUUGUAUAAUGGGUCAGCGACUUAUAUUCUGUAGCAAGGUUAACCGUAUAGGGGAGCCGAAGGGAAACCGAGUCUUAACUGGGCGUUAAGUUGCAGGGUAUAGACCCGAAACCCGGUGAUCUAGCCAUGGGCAGGUUGAAGGUUGGGUAACACUAACUGGAGGACCGAACCGACUAAUGUUGAAAAAUUAGCGGAUGACCUGUGGCUGGGGGUGAAAGGCCAAUCAAACCGGGAGAUAGCUGGUUCUCCCCGAAAGCUAUUUAGGUAGCGCCUCGUGAACUCAUCUUCGGGGGUAGAGCACUGUUUCGGCUAGGGGGCCAUCCCGGCUUACCAACCCGAUGCAAACUACGAAUACCGAAGAAUGUUAUCACGGGAGACACACGGCGGGUGCUAACGUCCGUCGUGAAGAGGGAAACAACCCAGACCGCCAGCUAAGGUCCCAAAGUCAUGGUUAAGUGGGAAACGAUGUGGGAAGGCACAGACAGCCAGGAUGUUGGCUUAGAAGCAGCCAUCAUUUAAAGAAAGCGUAAUAGCUCACUGGUCGAGUCGGCCUGCGCGGAAGAUGUAACGGGGCUAAACCAUGCACCGAAGCUGCGGCAGCGACGCUUAGGCGUUGUUGGGUAGGGGAGCGUUCUGUAAGCCGUUGAAGGUGUGCUGUGAGGCAUGCUGGAGGUAUCAGAAGUGCGAAUGCUGACAUAAGUAACGAUAAAGCGGGUGAAAAGCCCGCUCGCCGGAAGACCAAGGGUUCCUGUCCAACGUUAAUCGGGGCAGGGUGAGUCGACCCCUAAGGCGAGGCCGAAAGGCGUAGUCGAUGGGAAACAGGUUAAUAUUCCUGUACUUGGUGUUACUGCGAAGGGGGGACGGAGAAGGCUAUGUCAGCCGGGCGACGGUUGUCCCGGUUUAAGCAUGUAGGCGGAGGUUCCAGGUAAAUCCGGUACCUUAUUAACGCUGAGGUGUGAUGACGAGGCACUACGGUGCUGAAGUGAUAAAUGCCCUGCUUCCAGGAAAAGCCUCUAAGCAUCAGGUAACACGAAAUCGUACCCCAAACCGACACAGGUGGUCAGGUAGAGAAUACCAAGGCGCUUGAGAGAACUCGGGUGAAGGAACUAGGCAAAAUGGUGCCGUAACUUCGGGAGAAGGCACGCUGAUAUGUAGGUGAAGUCCCUGCGGACGGAGCUGAAAUCAGUCGAAGAUACCAGCUGGCUGCAACUGUUUAUUAAAAACACAGCACUGUGCAAACACGAAAGUGGACGUAUACGGUGUGACGCCUGCCCGGUGCCGGAAGGUUAAUUGAUGGGGUUAGCGGCAACGCGAAGCUCUUGAUCGAAGCCCCGGUAAACGGCGGCCGUAACUAUAACGGUCCUAAGGUAGCGAAAUUCCUUGUCGGGUAAGUUCCGACCUGCACGAAUGGCGUAAUGAUGGCCAGGCUGUCUCCACCCGAGACUCAGUGAAAUUGAACUCGCUGUGAAGAUGCAGUGUACCCGCGGCAAGACGGAAAGACCCCGUGAACCUUUACUAUAGCUUGACACUGAACACUGGUCCUUGAUGUGUAGGAUAGGUGGGAGGCUUUGAAGCGUGGACGCCAGUCUGCGUGGAGCCAACCUUGAAAUACCACCCUUUAAUGGCUGGUGUUCUAACGUAGACCCGUAAUCCGGGUUGCGGACAGUGUCUGGUGGGUAGUUUGACUGGGGCGGUCUCCUCCCAAAGAGUAACGGAGGAGCACGAAGGUUGGCUAAUCCUGGUCGGACAUCAGGAGGUUAGUGCAAUGGCAUAAGCCAGCUUGACUGCGAGCGUGACGGCGCGAGCAGGUGCGAAAGCAGGUCAUAGUGAUCCGGUGGUUCUGAAUGGAAGGGCCAUCGCUCAACGGAUAAAAGGUACUCCGGGGAUAACAGGCUGAUACCGCCCAAGAGUUCAUAUCGACGGCGGUGUUUGGCACCUCGAUGUCGGCUCAUCACAUCCUGGGGCUGAAGUAGGUCCCAAGGGUAUGGCUGUUCGCCAUUUAAAGUGGUACGCGAGCUGGGUUUAGAACGUCGUGAGACAGUUCGGUCCCUAUCUGCCGUGGGCGCUGGAGAAUUGAGGGGGGCUGCUCCUAGUACGAGAGGACCGGAGUGGACGCAUCACUGGUGUUCGGGUUGUCAUGCCAAUGGCACUGCCCGGUAGCUAAAUGCGGAAGAGAUAAGUGCUGAAAGCAUCUAAGCACGAAACUUGCCCCGAGAUGAGUUCU